AAGGGUGCGUAGGCGGUUUAUUAAGUCAGUGGUGAAAGACGGUCGCUCAACGAUUGCAGUGCCAUUGAUACUGGUAGACUUGAGUGGGAUUGAGGUAGCUGGAAUGGAUAGUGUAGCGGUGAAAUGCAUAGAUAUUAUCCAGAACACCAAUUGGCGUAGGCAAGUUACUAAGUCUCAACUGACGCUGAGGCACGAAAGUGUGGGUAUCAAACAGGAUUAGAUAUCCCUGU
RNAcentral lists this ribosomal RNA (230 nucleotides) under uncultured bacterium. Its description in RNAcentral is "partial 16S ribosomal RNA". It matches the Rfam family "Bacterial small subunit ribosomal RNA", at positions 563 to 791 of the family's 1533-position model. The record is from RNAcentral.